RNAcentral lists this long non-coding RNA (232 nucleotides) under Gossypium barbadense (sea-island cotton). RNAcentral describes it as "long non-coding RNA (GBAR_LNC001787)". Lineage: Eukaryota; Viridiplantae; Streptophyta; Magnoliopsida; Malvales; Malvaceae. The record is from RNAcentral.
CCAACCCGAUAAAUUAGCAUAAGCCGGAAAAUCAUUAAUUGUCCACAACAAAGCUGCACGUAAAUUAAAGUUCUUCUUUCUCAAUACAUCAUGUCUCAACACCCGACCAUAAUUGUUUUAACUCUUCAAUAAGUGGCUGCAAAUAAAUGUCAAUAUCAUUUCCGGGACCUUUCUCUCUAGGGAUAAUCAUUGAUAAAAUAAACAAAGAUUGCUUCAUGCAAAUCCAUAGAGG